RNAcentral lists this ribosomal RNA (497 nucleotides) under uncultured bacterium. RNAcentral describes it as "partial 16S ribosomal RNA". It matches the Rfam family "Bacterial small subunit ribosomal RNA", at positions 28 to 507 of the family's 1533-position model. The record is from RNAcentral.
GAUGAACGCUGGCGGCGUGCCUAAUACAUGCAAGUCGAGCGAACGGACGAGAAGCUUGCUUCUCUGAUGUUAGCGGCGGACGGGUGAGUAACACGUGGAUAACCUACCUAUAAGACUGGGAUAACUUCGGGAAACCGGAGCUAAUACCGGAUAAUAUUUUGAACCGCAUGGUUCAAAAGUGAAAGACGGUCUUGCUGUCACUUAUAGAUGGAUCCGCGCUGCAUUAGCUAGUUGGUAAGGUAACGGCUUACCAAGGCAACGAUGCAUAGCCGACCUGAGAGGGUGAUCGGCCCAACUGGAACUGAGACACGGUCCAGACUCCUACGGGAGGCAGUAGUAGGGAAUCUUCCGCAAUGGGCGAAAGCCUGACGGAGCAACGCCGCGUGAGUGAUGAAGGUCUUCGGAUCGUAAAACUCUGUUAUUAGGGAAGAACAUAUGUGUAAGUAACUGUGCACAUCUUGACGGUACCUAAUCAGAAAGCCACGGCUAACUACGUG